AGUGAACGCUGGCGGUGGGCCUAACACAUGCAAGUCGAACGGCAGCACAGUAAGAUCGUGCUCUUACGGGUGGCGAGUGGCGGACGGGUGAGGAAUGCAUAGGAAUCUACUUUUUCGGGGGGGAUAACGUAGGGAAACUUACGCUAAUACCGCAUACGACCUACGGGUGAAAGCAGGGGAUCUUCGGACCUUGCGCGAUUGAAUGAGCCGAUGUCGGAUUAGCUAGUUGGCGGGGUAAGGGCACACCAAGGCGACGAUGCGUAGCCGGUCUGAGAGGAUGGUCGGCCACACUGGAACUUAGACACGGUCCCGACUCCUACGGGGGGGAGCCGUGGGGAAUCUUCCGCAAUGGGCGGAAGCCUGACGGCGCAACGCCGCGUGGGUGAAGAAGGUCUUCGGGUCGUAAAACUCUUUUUUUGGGGAAGAACAAAUGUGUAAGUAACUACGCACGUCUUGACGGUACCUAAUCAGAAAGCCACGGCUAACUUCGUG
This 492-nucleotide ribosomal RNA is filed under the name uncultured bacterium. Its description in RNAcentral is "partial 16S ribosomal RNA". It matches the Rfam family "Bacterial small subunit ribosomal RNA", at positions 29 to 507 of the family's 1533-position model. The record is from RNAcentral.